UGGGGAAUAUUGCGCAAUGGGGGAAACCCUGACGCAGCAACGCCGCGUGAGUGAUGAAGGCUUUCGAGUCGUAAAACUCUGUCUUCGGGGACGAUAAUGACGGUACCCGAGGAGGAAGCCCCGGCUAACUACGUGCCAGCAGCCGCGGUAAUACGUAGGGGGCAAGCGUUGUCCGGAAUCACUGGGCGUAAAGGGCGCGUAGGCGGUUUGUUAAGUCAGGUGUGAAAGUUUUCAGCUUAACUGGAAAAGUGCACUUGAAACUAACUUACUUGAGUACUGGAGAGGUAAGCGGAAUUCCUAGUGUAGCGGUGAAAUGCGUAGAUAUUAGGAAGAACACCGGUGGCGAAGGCGGCUUACUGGACAGAGACUGACGCUGAGGCGCGAAAGCGUGGGGAGCGAACA
RNAcentral lists this ribosomal RNA (402 nucleotides) under uncultured bacterium. RNAcentral's name for it is "bacterial SSU rRNA". It matches the Rfam family "Bacterial small subunit ribosomal RNA", at positions 355 to 774 of the family's 1533-position model. The record is from RNAcentral. RNAcentral also lists the same sequence under 1 other name.